This 3779-nucleotide long non-coding RNA is filed under the name Gallus gallus (chicken). RNAcentral's name for it is "lncRNA (ENSGALG00010011270.1)". Lineage: Eukaryota; Metazoa; Chordata; Aves; Galliformes; Phasianidae. The record is from RNAcentral.
CUGCUUCACAUUACAUGGAGAUGAAUUAAACAAGCUACUAUGGUACUCAGAAAACAUCUGCUAACAAAGUCAGAAGUAACGAUAAACAAACUUGAGUUCCCUUUGUGGUUGAUUUUCAUCCAGCUGCAUUUAAUUAUAAAAGAGCUAUCAAAGAAAGCUCCCCAUUAGCAGCAAAUUCAGAAUGACUUCAGAAGAAAAUCCCAGAGCCUCCAGUGAUAUCUCUCGAACAACUUUCUCAUCUCUGCAAGUGAUUGAGAAGAGCUGAAUGAGACCAGCUUAGCGAUCAUUUCUCCUGCUAGCUGCCAGAGUAAAAUGAAGAUGAUGUAUCCUUUCAGUACCUGUGAUUGCCCAUUUUCAAAGCACUCCUAUUGGUUGGACCUAUAAGAUCUACCAGACUCUCUCCUGCAGCUGAUCUCUGCCAUAUGCAUCGAUGUCAAUCAGGAAUACAAAGAUAACUCUAAAAAUUGCUGUGUGCAUUUUCUAAAGUGUAGCAUCUGCUGAUUUUGCUGAGAAAGUGAACAGAUUUGUUGUUACAGGCUUUUUUUUUUUUUUAAAUAGAGUCUUAUUCAUUUUGGUAUUUUCCACAAUGAAAUUAAAGAUGUGGUCAUUUAUGAGUACCUAAUUCUGGUUUACAUUGAUCAGGAACUUUUGCACUGAUGUAUCUAGCGAUGCACGGAGUCUGAGACUGAUGCUCUAGAUGAGCAAGACACACCUGAAUGUUAUUAAAACACAGCAAUGAUGUUUUUUUCUUUUUUUUUUUUUCAUAAAAAAAUAAAGAGAAAAGAACUGAAAAGCAUGUUCAUCCUAGUUCCCCUGAAGCUUCUUACACUGGCAAUAUUAGAUAUUCCAUGAACAGGUAACCUAUGUACUGAAGUUACAAGUGACAUUUUGUAAAUGUACCCAGAACUACAAGCAAUUACAAUAAAAGUCUAUUAACUCCAGUGAUAAUUAUGAACCCUCAAAGGAAUCUUCAUACACAGCAACGCACAAACAACCUGCAGUGUUCUGCUAUUGGAAGGUCUGGGUAACGGCAUGGAGGGUGGGAAAGGAGCUCUGGAAAAAUUCAGCUGGCUUAGAAACUCUGAUGGAAAGAAGAGGGCUUCUGGACGCUGAGAAAAGCAUUGAACCAGACUGGACAAUUUCUUCUGCACAGAAAGGAAAAUUGCUCAUUAUCUGUGCACAUGGGUCAAGAGACAUCCUCACUCAGAUUUUGCAUCCCAGACUAAAAACUGCAGGAAGCGUAUGAUACUGCUGCUUGCCUUUGGGUCCUGCACUGACUCCUGCCAGGAACAUGACAUUUACGCUGAGCACCUUGAAAAACAAGCAUUUCACUACUCCCCUGCAUGAGUGGCUUUCUUACACGUAUGCAAACAGAGACUCAAGACUUUUUCACCUACAAAAAAUAAAGGAUCCAGACCAUUUUGCUGGAGCCCCAACAUCCCAGGGCUGUACUCUCAGCGAUAGUACAUUGAGCCACGCUCUUUUUACAAGCAAACAGGAUAUUUUGCUCCCUGAGCUUGUUGUUGUGAUACGGGUAUUCUGCUGCCACACUAGGGCUGAGCAUGCUGAUCAAGCUCAUAUAUUAACAGGAGAUGGUGAGCAGCAUUUCUCCAGGAAAAAAAGUUUGUAGCCUGGCACACCUUCAUAACAAAGAUCUGCUCCGUUCAUCUGUCUGCUUAGAAAACAUGGGUGGGUGCUUUUUUUUGCCAAAAACCAUACCUGAUAGGUUUUACUGUUUAUUUUGCGUGUGUGUGCAGGCUAAACAGUCACUAAUAUGCUUCAAUAUGUUCCUCUUCCCUAUUUUGGUAACUGUAUAAGUACACCAUCGCUUCGCGAAAGCAUAGUUCAUAAAGCAUCCCAGCACCAGCAGAGAACAAAGAUUCAUGCAUCUCCAGAAAGGCUGUUUACAACAAACCUUCAUGCUCCCCUCAUAUAUUUUUCCCCUCCAAAAUUAGCAGCAGCCCACACAGCAGCAAAGACUCCUACCCCUGAUGGAUUCAGUAAGUGGCUGCAACCAGAAGCUCUCCUAUCGCAGCAAUCCUCUUCCCCCCAUCGCCUAGCAGAGACCCUCCAUAUGUCAUCAAUAGACCAGACAGAGAAGUCCUAAGCCUGUUUUUUGGGGGAUGUUAAUACAAAAUGAUGAUAGAUAACUACUAAGCGGAGCAGCAGACAGACCCGGCGCCUCUGACAGCAGCUGCUCUUCCUUUGUCAGUGUCAAUCGGCGCUGGCAUCGCGGGGAACGAGCAAAAGUGACAAGAGAAGAGCGCACCAAUUAUGGAUGAAGGGAUACAAUCUACUCCCACUGCUUGAUGUGAUUUAUUCGACGGUCCUUCUGCAUUUAUAGAGCAGCAGAUUGCGGCUGCUUAUGAAGUGACAAAUAGUGCUCAAUGACAUUGACUGACUGGUCUGAUCAAUUUAGCUUGGCUGAGAAGUAGCCACGAAUCGCUGUCUGGGUUGAAUGACGUACGUACCAUCCCGGCUCCGCUCGGCCAAGGCAAAAAUCUCCAAUGCUGUUUGGAAAACUGAUAAAAAAAAAUGACUCCCUUCAAACAAAUAGCACCACAGUCCCGUACAAGCAGUGAAAAAUUACAACCUUUCCCAUCGCUUUGCUUUGAAAUGCAUCUCACUUAAAGAAUGUUUUGUCUUCGAGACAGCGUCAGCGGAACAUUUUUAUUCUCUUAUAAGUUCCUGAAUAUUUGAUAUAUUUUGCUGGAGAAGCAAUGUAUCUGACAGAAGGGAAAAAUGUGGAGGCCUCCUUGCAGGAACCAACAAAGCAACUCUUCACAUUUUCUAGCAAAGUUGCCAACUGCCCUGAUUUUACUGAGUCUUGAGUCAUUGGAGUCAUUUUUAAAGUCCUGGAAUCUGGUGAUGAUGUAAUUCAGCUUUUGCCUUAAAAUAAAGAAAAACAGGGAAAAAAAAGAAAAAGAAAAAGAAAAGGAAAUUCCCAGCCCUGUGGUCAGAGAACAACUUGAAAAUGUGAUUUCAGUGAACCCAGCAGGAUCAAAAGCCAAAGGAAACUAAGCCAACUUAUUAAUGUAGAGGGGGUUGGAGCUAUUUUGUGGGUUCCUAACCUAAAAGUAACCUUAGGACUACGGAAGCCUGACAGAACUUUUUAACACCUGGGGCUGACAGCACAGAAAUUUCUGGCUCAUUCUAGCAGAGCCUCUGUGCUAAUAAACCAAUAUUGAGAACUGUCGGACUUCAGGAACUGGUAGGCCUUCUGGCAGGAGGAGUUUCUACACGUGCAAAGGUGGCAGAAGCAGGCUAUGGGGUGCCAUCUAAUUCUCACUGCUUUUAGUGAGCCUCGCACGGCCCUUCUCAUAACGCUGGAGUUACUCGAUAAGGUGUGAGCUGGCACCACCAGAGGCUGCAGAUUGCAGUCACUGGGCAAACAAAGAAUUAAAAGCCAUUGAGAGAGCGUUAGCAAGUUUUAUCUAGCAUUAGAUUAUUUUCAUAAAGUCGUAAUUUCAUGCCACACCUUAUAAAUAAAACCUAAGAUAUUGCUUAAACGAAGCAGUGCAUGGGUUGCCUGCAAAAGGUAAUUCCGUGUAUAAAUACAGUCUAACUUGUGAUCAGGUCUACAUAUACCUAUCAAUACAUAUGGACUUACAUGUGUAUAAAUCAAUGUCUGCGGGUGGGGGGUGCGCGUGUGCGGUUCAAUAUAUACUACAAUAUUAAACUGUUAUCCAUGCACAAGUAUAUUUAUGUAUAUAUUUCAAUUUAUUAGAGCUAGGCAGUCCUUUACAGACUUAAUAAAGAGCACCAGCAUUAUAAGCCAA